Molecule: long non-coding RNA, 170 nt
Organism: Sander lucioperca (pikeperch)
Lineage: Eukaryota; Metazoa; Chordata; Actinopteri; Perciformes; Percidae
Exons: 3
Source: RefSeq, a predicted model, not a curated record
GUUCUGUGGCAGUCAUUGUUUGUGUUUGUUUAUGUUUCACAAAAAGUUUAACCUGAGUCAAGCCGUACAACAAAUAUAUAAAUCAUAUUACAUCCAUACAUUGAUAGUAGUAUACAGCUGUUAAAACAUAAUAAAUAUAUAUGACACACUGGUAUCGGAUCGGUACUUGG